UACGUAGGGGGCGAGCGUUGUCCGGAAUCAUUGGGCGUAAAGCGCGUGUAGGCGGCUCGUUAAGUCCGGUGUGAAACCUUGGGGCUCAACCCCAAGCCUGCACUGGAUACUGACGAGCUCGAGUCCGGGAGGGGAGAGCGGAAUUCCUAGUGUAGCGGUGAAAUUCGUAGAUAUUAGGAAGAACACCGGUGGCGAAGGCGGCCCACUGGUCCGGUACUGACGCUGAGGUGCGAAAGCGUGGGGAGCAAACAGG
RNAcentral lists this ribosomal RNA (253 nucleotides) under uncultured bacterium. RNAcentral describes it as "partial 16S ribosomal RNA". It matches the Rfam family "Bacterial small subunit ribosomal RNA", at positions 524 to 776 of the family's 1533-position model. The record is from RNAcentral.